AUGUAUUGUCAUCCUUAUGCAAGUGCAUGUAUUGUCAGAUGCCUAAUUAAUAUUGUCAGAUGCUUCGUAGGUAGCAUGUGGAGGGAGCAAAAUCUAAAGAAAAUUAGAGAUGGAAAGGUCUUUAGUGAGAGAACAACCGUUCUACGAUUGGACACCAUUGAGGUCAUUGGAGGCAGAAAGAGUAUCUGCAAGUGGUGUGUAUGGUGGCACGACAUCCAGCUUUCGCCAAUUGAUGACACGACGUUGGUUCUUUGUUCAGGGAUCUCGGUGAUAUGGAUUCAAAUCAACUGGUUGGACGCUCCAAUGAUGGGAGUGUUCAUCUCACUUGGGGUGCCUCCGAAGAUGGAGUGGUCACUCUUCCUUAUAGUUGGUGGUCGAGUUGAUGUAGUCACUGGAGCUUCUUGUCGGAUGGUGUCGAUGCCGGUGUGA
RNAcentral lists this ribosomal RNA (429 nucleotides) under Triticum aestivum (bread wheat). Its description in RNAcentral is "partial small subunit ribosomal RNA". The record is from RNAcentral. Lineage: Eukaryota; Viridiplantae; Streptophyta; Magnoliopsida; Poales; Poaceae.